UUUUCAUCCAGAGCAGCUGAGGGACUGGCCCCAUGACGCUGCGGCAACCUACAUCAAGAAAGGUGCCAAUUCCAGCGGAUAUAUCCGGCAGAUGAAAC
This 98-nucleotide non-coding RNA is filed under the name Megasphaera cerevisiae. RNAcentral describes it as "SAM-I sequence". It matches the Rfam family "SAM riboswitch aptamer (S box leader)". Rfam says of the family: The SAM riboswitch is found upstream of a number of genes which code for proteins involved in methionine or cysteine biosynthesis in Gram-positive bacteria. The SAM riboswitch acts at the level of transcription termination control. Lineage: Bacteria; Bacillati; Bacillota; Negativicutes; Veillonellales; Veillonellaceae. The record is from RNAcentral. RNAcentral also lists the same sequence under 1 other name.